GUCUACAGCCAUACCACCCUGAAUGUGUCUGACCUUGUCUGAUCUCAGAAGUGAAGCAGGGUCGGGCCUGGUUAGUGCUUGGAUGGCAGGGGAGCGAUGCUGUUCU
Molecule: ribosomal RNA, 106 nt
Filed under: Castor canadensis (American beaver)
Lineage: Eukaryota; Metazoa; Chordata; Mammalia; Rodentia; Castoridae
Source: RNAcentral